GACGAACGCUGGCGGCGUGCUUAACACAUGCAAGUCGAACGGAAAGGCCUUUUCGGAGGUACUCGAGUGGCGAACGGGUGAGUAACACGUGGGUGAUCUGCCCUGCACUCUGGGAUAAGCCUGGGAAACUGGGUCUAAUACCGGAUAGGACCGCACUUUAGUGUGUGUGGUGGAAAGUUUUUUCGGUGUAGGAUGAGCCCGCGGCCUAUCAGCUUGUUGGUGGGGUAAUGGCCUACCAAGGCGGCGACGGGUAGCCGGACUGAGAGGUUGGUCGGCCACAUUGGGACUGAGAUACGGCCCAGACUCCUACGGGAGGCAGCAGUGGGGAAUAUUGCACAAUGGGCGCAAGCCUGAUGCAGCGACGCCGCGUGGGGGAUGACGGCCUUCGGGUUGUAAACUCCUUUCGCCAGGGACGAAGCGUUCUGUGACGGUACCUGGAGAAGAAGCACCGGCUAACUACGUG
Molecule: ribosomal RNA, 463 nt
Filed under: uncultured bacterium
Lineage: Bacteria
Description: partial 16S ribosomal RNA
Rfam family: Bacterial small subunit ribosomal RNA
Source: RNAcentral